UACGGAGGGGGCGAGUGUUGUUCGGAAUUACUGGGCGUAAAGGGCGCGCAGGCGGCCUGGCAAGUCGAGUGUGAAAUCCCUUGGCUUAACUGAGGAAUGGCGCUCGAAACUACCUCGCUGGAGGGCGGGAGAGGGAAGUGGAACUCUCGGUGUAGGGGUGAAAUCUGUAGAUAUCGAGAGGAACACCGGUGGCGAAGGCGGCUUCCUGGCCCGUACCUGACGCUGAGGCGCGAAAGCAUGGGGAGCGAACAGG
RNAcentral lists this ribosomal RNA (253 nucleotides) under uncultured bacterium. Its description in RNAcentral is "partial 16S ribosomal RNA". It matches the Rfam family "Bacterial small subunit ribosomal RNA", at positions 524 to 776 of the family's 1533-position model. The record is from RNAcentral.